RNAcentral lists this ribosomal RNA (471 nucleotides) under uncultured bacterium. RNAcentral describes it as "bacterial SSU rRNA". It matches the Rfam family "Bacterial small subunit ribosomal RNA", at positions 9 to 524 of the family's 1533-position model. The record is from RNAcentral.
GAGUUUGAUCCUGGCUCAGAGCGAACGCUGGCGGCAGGCCUAACACAUGCAAGUCGAGCGCCCGUAGCAAUACGGGAGCGGCAGACGGGAGAGUAACACGUGGGAACGCGCCCUUCGGUUCGGAAUAACUCAGGGAAACUUGAGCUAAUACCGGAUACGCCCUUACGGGGAAGAUUUAUUGCCGAAGGAACGGCCCGCGUCCGAUUAGCUAGUUGGUGAGGUAAUGGCUCACCAAGGCGACGAUCGGUAGCUGGUCUGAGAGGAUGACCAGCCUCACUGGGACUGAGACACGGCCCAGACUCCUACGGGAGGCAGCAGUGGGGAAUAUUGGACAAUGGGCGCAAGCCUGAUCCAGCCAUGCCGCGUGGAUGAUGAAGGCCCUAGGGUUGUAAAGUCCUUUCGGCGGGGAAGAGUAAUGACGGUACCCGCAGAAGAAGCCCCGGCUAACUUCGUGCCAGCCGCCGCAGUAAC